GUUUCUCUGGGAUGCGCGAUACGGACCUUAUCGGGGUGACCAACAUUUUUUGUGCAAAGCAUCCGGCCAGUGAUCAUGGUGAGCCUGCCCAUCAUCGAGUGGGACGCCUGAAGUGAUCCUCCGGUGAAAUUCCGCGAAUUUUUCAAGGUCACGACGACAAGCUGGCGAUCGGCAUUCCGGAGGCGAA
Molecule: non-coding RNA, 187 nt
Filed under: Geoalkalibacter ferrihydriticus DSM 17813
Lineage: Bacteria; Pseudomonadati; Thermodesulfobacteriota; Desulfuromonadia; Desulfuromonadales; Geoalkalibacteraceae
Description: 6S / SsrS RNA
Rfam family: 6S / SsrS RNA
About the family: E. coli 6S RNA was the first non coding RNA to be sequenced, but its function was unknown until recently.
Source: Rfam by way of RNAcentral